GAAGUCGGUGGGGUAACCUUUUUGGAGCCAACCGCCUAAGGUGGGACAGAUGAUUGGGGUGAAGUCGUAACAAGGUAGCCGUAUCGGAAGGUGCGGCUGGAUCACCUCCUUUCUAUGGAGA
This 121-nucleotide ribosomal RNA is filed under the name Bacillus sp. B4-WWTP-NA-D-NA-NA. Its description in RNAcentral is "partial 16S ribosomal RNA". It matches the Rfam family "Bacterial small subunit ribosomal RNA", at positions 1423 to 1533 of the family's 1533-position model. The record is from RNAcentral. Lineage: Bacteria; Bacillati; Bacillota; Bacilli; Caryophanales; Bacillaceae.